AGAACGAACGCUGGCGGCAGGCCUCAAACAUGCAAGUCUAGGGGGUGCAGCAAUGCAUCACCGGCGGACGGGUGCGUAACGCGUGGGAAUAUACCUAUUGGUUCGGAACAACUGCGGGAAACUGCAGCUAAUACCGAAUGUGCCCGAAAGGGGAAAGAUUCAUCGCCAAUGGAUUAGCCCGCGUAGGAUUAGCUAGUUGGUGGGGUAAAGGCUCACCAAGGCUCCGAUCCUUAGCUGUUCUGAGAGGAAGAUCAGCCACACUGGGACUGAGACACGGCCCAGACUCCUACGGGAGGCAGCAGUUGGGAAUCUUGGACAAUGGGGGAAACCCUGAUCCAGCCAUGCCGCGUGAGUGAUGAAGGCCUUCGGGUUGUAAAACUCUUUCGACGGGGACGAUAAUGACGGUACCCGUAGAAGAAGCUCCGGCUAACUUCGUGCCAGCAGCCGC
RNAcentral lists this ribosomal RNA (448 nucleotides) under uncultured bacterium. Its description in RNAcentral is "SSU rRNA". It matches the Rfam family "Bacterial small subunit ribosomal RNA", at positions 26 to 518 of the family's 1533-position model. The record is from RNAcentral.